CCUACGGGUGGCUGCAGUGGGGGAUAUUGCACAAUGGGGGAACCCCUGAUGCAGCGACGCCGCGUGAGUGAAGAAGUAUUUCGGUAUGUAAAGCUCUAUCAGCAGGGAAGAAAAUGACAGUACCUGACCAAGGAGCCCCGGGUUACUACGUGACAGCAGCCGCGGUAAUAGGUAGGGGUCAAGCGUUAUCCGGAUUUAUUUGGUGUAAAGGGAGCGUAGACGGUUAUGUAAGGCUGGAGUGAAAGCCGCGGGCCCAACCCCGGGACUGCUGUGGAAAAUGUGUAACUGGAGUACAGGAGGGGCAGGCGGAAUUCCUGGUGUAGCGGUGAAAUGCGUAGAUAUCAGGAGGAACACCGGCGGCGAAGGCGGCCUGCUGGACUGAAACUGACGUUGAGGCUCGAAAGCGUGGGGAGCAAACAGGAUUAGAUACCCUUGUAGUC
RNAcentral lists this ribosomal RNA (440 nucleotides) under uncultured bacterium. RNAcentral's name for it is "partial 16S ribosomal RNA". It matches the Rfam family "Bacterial small subunit ribosomal RNA", at positions 338 to 795 of the family's 1533-position model. The record is from RNAcentral.